CUCUGUGAAGCAGCACUAAAAGAUGGCUGGACCAGGUUUAAAGCAACAAGUUGGGGAAAAUCAUCCAGAUGACAUACGAAGAUGCCACCUCGUCAGGGACAUGAUUGGACUAGAGGACACUUUGUUAUUGCAGGCCAGAGCAGAGGGUCAUUUCCAGCAGCGAGCACUGUCUGCUGCCUUCUACCCGUGGUACAGAGAGAGGCUGGCGAUGGCACCAGCAGAGACGGAUCCUGCACACAAGAGCAGUGCGUUUUCACAGAGGGACAUUAGAGAAGCAAGUAUUUGCUCUCUGGAGGCAGCAGAUGUCUCAGCAUCGAGAAAACUGCUUGGCAGAGAGAAUGGUGUGUGGUCUUCUUUGAGUGAGUUCCUGGGGGGAGGAUCCAUUUUAUGCACUUGCCCUGGGGUGCUCCUCAGAAAGUUAUACAACCCUGGUCCACCCUGCCAGGUGCAGGAGCCUGGGAAAAUCCAGACAUUGAUGUCUGAUGUCAGCUCAGUUCACAGACAGCUGCUGGGGGAGGAUCUCUUUUGCUGGUCACAGAUUCUCCUCCAGCCUCUGAACUGGUCUCCUUCUGGAUUGUUCUGUUUCCUCCCACCCUGCCUCAGGCUAUACUGCAGGCAGAGCAGCAGCUUUUGCGUAGGUUCUGGUUCGUGUGGCACCAGCAGGCAGCAGUGUGUCAUCUGGAGUGACAGCAGCAAGCCAUGGCCAUUGCCCACCACCACAGGGGACUGCUCAGGAGGGCUUUCUGCAUCUGGAGGGAAAGCACCCGAGGAUUUAGGAUAGAGUGAGUGGCAUUUCUACUCCAGAGCUGCUUCCCCCGCAGCCAGCUUUGGCAGAAGCUCCAAGUGCCCACCCAUAGUGGGGUGUCAGGUUGGGUGGGUUGUAUGUCCUGGAAAUUCAGCUUGAAUCAAGGGACAGGACCUUGGAAUCUGUCAUUGGACUCAGAUGCUCUGAAAUUCAGCUCCACCUUGCUUCCUGCCUGGGACCCUCGUAGCUAGUGGCAGGGUAUAAACGGAUGAGCCCAUUAUCAGGUGGCUGGACACUUACUAGUGGGCAGGCUAUGACAGUGUUUACCAGACCACAGGGCUACAAUGAAGAGUGCAUGCAGCCCAUGUGUCUGGUGCAGAGAUGUUGAAGCCCCACGAGGUUUCCUGAAACUUUCCUGAAUCUCUGUGUUCCUACUUGGGAGAGGCCCAGAUCAUCAGACAGCUCUUCAGAGAAUCCUUCACUCCCAGAGCUCAGUAGUUCUAAAGCCCCUUGUGGUCUGGCCCCUGCUGAGCUUCUCCUGUUUCUCCACAGGAGGAUGGGCAGGGCACAGGCUGCGCACUUCCACGCUGCAUGGCUCCUGCAUCGGGCCUGGAGCAUGUGGAGGGAGGUAAGGCUUUGGCACGGGCACAGCCUGAGUGUGGCGUUUGGACAGGUGGGGCUGUUUGUCCUCAUGACUCAGACAGACAGAUGGGUUCCUCCAUAUGCCUCUGGUCAAGGGCAACUGUGAGGCAGUGAUAACUUACGUAUGUGUGGGGCUGUUAUUAGCUGAACUUACUGAGUGUAAAGUUCCUGUCUGGCCGCUCACAGAAACUCUACUAAGGGUGUAACAUGGAAGCCAGUACCUGUCCAGCACUUCCUGUCCGGCACUUGCUCAUUUGACACCCACCAACCUCUAGGAGGUUUAUAUUUAUAGAUAAGAUUGAGGCUCAAUUGGAGUAUUCUCCUUCUGGGAGCUCACAGAAUGAAAACUCUGAGACAUUGCUGCCGUGAGCCCCUCCUGGCCCUCGGCCCACAG
Mus spicilegus (steppe mouse) is the source of this 1781-nucleotide long non-coding RNA. The record is from Ensembl. Lineage: Eukaryota; Metazoa; Chordata; Mammalia; Rodentia; Muridae.